UGGGGAAUCUUGCACAAUGGGGGAAACCCUGAUGCAGCGACGCCGCGUGAGCGAUGAAGCCCUUCGGGGUGUAAAGCUCUUUCGACGGGAACGAUAAUGACGGUACCCGGAGAAGAAGCUGCGGCUAACUACGUGCCAGCAGCCGCGGUAAUACGUAGGCAGCAAGCGUUGUUCGGAGUUACUGGGCGUAAAGAGUACGUAGGCGGUUUGCUAAGUCUGGUGUGAAAUCUCCUGGCUUAACUGGGAGGGUGCGCUAGAUACUGGCAGGCUUGAGUAUGGGAGAGGAGAGUGGAAUUCCUGGUGUAGCGGUGAAAUGCGUAGAUAUCAGGAGGAACGCCGGUGGUGUAGACGGCUCGUCUGGACCAUUACUGACGCUCAUGCACGAAAGCGUGGGGAGCAAACAGGAUUAGAUACCCCAGUAGUCCCUGAGCGGGCUGGCAAGGCGCAU
This 448-nucleotide ribosomal RNA is filed under the name uncultured bacterium. RNAcentral's name for it is "bacterial SSU rRNA". It matches the Rfam family "Bacterial small subunit ribosomal RNA", at positions 355 to 825 of the family's 1533-position model. The record is from RNAcentral.